AGCCGAACUCAGCGGCAGGAGGGUGACCGCACUUUUAACCAGCGGCUGCUGUCAUGACGACCCAGGGGGGCCUGGUGGCCAACCGAGGCCGGCGGUUCAAAUGGGCCAUUGAGCUGAGUGGACCGGGAGGAGGGAGCAGGGGCCGAAGUGACCGGGGCAGUGGACAGGGAGACUCACUCUAUCCAGUCGGUUACUUGGACAAGCAAGUGCCUGAUACCAGCGUGCAAGAGACCCGACGGAUCCCUGGUGGAGAAGGUACAGAGGUAUUAGAUGUAACUGUAGCAUUUGGACCAGUCCUGUCUCACCUUACUCUCUGGAGUAGAGGUAAAGCAGCUGGUCACUACCUGAGUGUUUGAGAGCCACAAUGCUUAAGAUUUAUAUUACAGUAUCUUACAUAUAUGUUCCCUGACAUAAUUUCAGUGUGUCGGGAUAUUGUGUUACUUUUACCUUCAAAACAUCCCAAUCCUGCUAUCAUUUCUUACUGCCUUCAACUGUUACAUCACCAGCAGUAGACUAAUAAUCGAUCAACUGUCCCUCCAUCCCUCUAUUUAAAAUAAAGCAUGGUUUCUCAACCUCAGUACUGUUUUCUAUUUGGGGGCAAGUACUUCUUUUGCGGG
Molecule: long non-coding RNA, 617 nt
Filed under: Rattus norvegicus (Norway rat)
Lineage: Eukaryota; Metazoa; Chordata; Mammalia; Rodentia; Muridae
Description: long non-coding RNA NONRATT019565
Source: RNAcentral